CCUCGGGCAGGGUAGCCCCCGGCUUCAUCUGAGGCGGACGCCGCAGUGUAGGGCACACCCUGAGGGUAGCGAGAGACGUGACAGGACCGAGCAGCUGGGGGCUGCAGCCUGCUGUGUCCCCACCGAUCCCAGAGAGAGGCUGUGAGUCUGGAUCUGGGCGUUCGCACCCUGAGAGAGGGGGUCAAAGCUCCCCUGCGGCCCCGAGGAAGAAGAGCAAGGUUGAGGACCGCCUCGGGUCACCAGAGUAGUUUGGAGGCAGGCCUGCAGGCGCGUCCCCGCUCCUCAGCUCCAAGCUGACGUAUCUACACCUGCCGGCGGGCAUUGAGAUGGCUGGUUAUGCCACUACUCCCAGCCCCGUGCAGACCCUUCAGGAGGAAGCGGUGUGUGCCAUCUGCUUGGAUUACUUCAAGGACCCCGUGUCCAUCAGCUGCGGGCACAACUUCUGCCGAGGGUGUGUGACCCAGCUGUGGGGUAAGGAGGACGAGGAGGAAGAUGAAUGGGAGGAGGAGGAGGAGGACGAGGAGGCGGUGGGGGCCGUGGAUGGAUGGGACGGCUCCAUUCGAGAGGUGUCGUAUCGGGGGAAUGCUGACGAAGAGUUGUUCCAAGACCAAGAUGACGAUGAACUCUGGCUCGGUGACAGUGGUAGAACUAAUUGGGACAACGUAGACUAUAUGUGGGACGAGGAGGAAGAAGAAGAGGAAGAUCAGGACUGUUACCUAGGAGGCUUGAGACCUGACCUGAGGAUUGAUGUCUACCGAGAAGAAGAAGAAACACUGGAAGCAUACGAUGAGGACGAAGAUGAAGAGCUGUAUCCUGACAUCCACCCGCCUCCUUCCUUGCCCCUUCCAGGGCAGUUCACCUGCCCCCAGUGCCGAAAGAGCUUUACACGUCGCAGCUUUCGUCCCAACUUGCAGCUGGCCAACAUGGUCCAGAUAAUUCGCCAGAUGUGCCCCACUCCUUAUCGGGGAAACCGGAGUAAUGAUCAGGGCAUGUGCUUUAAACACCAGGAAGCCCUGAAACUCUUCUGUGAGGUGGACAAAGAGGCCAUCUGUGUGGUGUGCCGAGAAUCCAGGAGCCACAAACAGCACAGCGUGCUGCCUUUGGAGGAGGUGGUUCAGGAGUACCAGGUGAGAGAAAUGAGGGAAUGUGGGGGGAUGAAGGGAGUGGAAAGGUAACUAGGAGAGCUGAGGAAUGAGUAGCAUUCCUUUCCCACCUCCUCAGGUGCUUAGUUGCUAAACUUCUCUUUCUUUGAUGAGGGAGACACGGUGGAGAGAGAUGGUCAUGUGGGUAAAAAAGGAGACACAAAACCAUGAAGAUUGGGGCAGAUUGGCUUCCCCAGAGGAAGCUGAACAGAUAAUAUGACGGUCACUGGAAGCGGACCACUACUGCUAAUACUGGCAGUCUACCUAAGUGUAAGGAACAUGAGUAACAGAUACCCAGUACUUCAUUUCUCUCUAAUGUGAGUCCUUGACCAAUUCCCUGGGACAGGUGCAGAUAGGAAUAGAAAGCCACAGUACUUGGAGAUAAUAGACAUUUGGGACCUCAGCACAAGCAGUGUCAAAAUAGAUGUAUUGGUAGACAGAAAUGCCAGAUGUGAGUCCUAAACUACUGGUAGCAAUUGGCCACACCCCCCUCUCAAAGUCUGGGAUUGCAUCUCUACCUUCAGUGGGGUCCGUUUUCCUUCUAGAGAAAGGCAAAGCAUUUAAGCAUCUUUGAUGGAUCAGAAUGUGCCUCAUAUCCUGAUCACUUUUCUUUCCUGGUAUUUUAUCAUAGUGGAAGGAGUGCGGGAUUUAGGAUCAGAUGACCUGGCUCUGCCACUUACUGUCUAGUCUUGGGCAGGUGUCAACCUCCUUGAGCUUCACUUUUUCCCUAGGAUUGCAAGGAUUAAAAGAGAUCAUAUAUGUUAACCAUAAAGCACUAAACAAAUGUUUGCUGUUUUAUUUGGCUUUCUUGUAACUUGUCUUCCCUUGUUUGGGUGCUGAUAUGGUUAAUGCCUUGCUUUCUAGUCUUGACUUCUAAGCAUUAGAUAAUUGUCUCAAUGACAAUGAGCAUGAGUACCAUCUUCCUUACCAAAAGUCUAGGUAGAUUUGACUCCUAGCAGUGCCCAAACGAAGGAGAGGUUGUCUUCAGGCCCAGAAAGGUUGACCUGGAUAUGCAGCAGCCGCUGCUCACGUCUUAGUAGUGCUUUACAGUUUAUAAAAUAUAUUUCCUCGUAUUCUCCUAUAGCAGUGGUUUUCAAAUUGUUUUUUGACCAAUUAGUGUGUCUUAAAAUAAAUGGGUCAUGCCUAGCAUUAUCUCAAAAUGAAGAAAGAGAAAAUAUUAGAACACAUGGAACAUAGGGUAAGUAUUCCUUUAUGAAACUUUUAAGUUAUAUAUAUAUACAUGUAUAUACUUCGUCUAAAAAUAUAUUGCUUUCUUUGAGUUGCAGUCAAAACACAAACAGAGCACUGUCCUACAGGCUUCAUAUAUUAGAUAUUAUUAUCACCCCCCUGCCCCCAUUUUAUAGCAAAUAUUAGUAAGUGCACAGUUAAGGCACAAAUCUAACCAUAAGUCACUGCUACCUCUGUUACAUUAACCUGACUUGAAGGACAAAUCCUAGUACCAUGUUUUCACCCAAGGUGAUAACUAAAGUAUCCCAUGGAAAAAACUUAUGUCCUAUGCUUCUGGGUUUUAGUACACUGAAGCUGAGGAAAAGAGAGAACCUUCUAUUUCUCUCCUAACUUUUUUUUUUGAGACGGUGUCUUGCUCUGUUGCCCAGGCAGAAGUGCAAUGGCAUGAUCUCGGCUCACUGCAACCUCUGUUUCCCGGGUUCAAGUGAUCCUCCUGUCUCAGCACCCCUAGUAGUUGCGAUUACAGGCACAUGCCACCAUGCCCAGCUAAUUUUGCAUUUUUAGUAGAGAUGGGGUUUCACCAUGUUGGCCAGGCUGGUCUUGAACUCCUGACCUCAGGAGAUCCACCACCUGGGCCUCCCAAAGUGCUGGGAUUACAGGCAUGAGCCAUUGUGCGCAGCCUUCCUCAGCUAACUUUUAUCAUCAUCCCCUUCCCCCAUUUUAUAGUAAAUAUUGGUAAGUGCACAGUUAAGACACAAAUCUUUUUUCAUUUUUAUUUAUUUAUUUAUUUAUUUGAGCUGGAGUCUCGCUCUGUCAUCAGGCUAGAGUGCAGUGGUGCGAUCUCAGCUCACUGCAACCUAUGCCUCCCGAGUUCAAGUGAUUUUCCUGCCUCAGCCUCCCAAGUAGCUGGGAAUACAGGUGCGCACCACCACGCCCAGCUAAUUUUUGCAUUUUUAGUGUAGACGGGGUUUCACCAUGUUGGCCAGGAUGGUCUCAGUCUCUUGACCUCCUGAUCCCCCCGCCUCGGCCUCCCAAAGUGCCGGGAUUACAGAUGUGAGCCACCAUGCCUGGCUGUCUCUUUCAUUCUUUAGGCAGUUCAUUGUCACUUCCUUCCAUUGGUAAACAUGUAAAUUAUAGUCGCAUGAUUUAGAAUUUUACUGACCAAAGUCAUAAUAAUAGUUAACAGUACAAGGAACUAUUUUUGUAUAAUGGUUUAUUUAAUACAGUAUACAUUAUCUUUCAUAUACUUUGUUACAAUGUUAAAAAAAACUUCAUUUUUCAUAACACAGGAAAUAAAGUUGGAAACAACUCUGGUGGGAAUACUUCAGAUAGAGCAAGAAAGCAUUCACAGCAAGGCCUAUAAUCAGUAAGAUGUGUGAAAAGUUGGGUAGCCAUAGGAGGUGUUCAUUAAGGAUAUGAUUCCAUUUAUAUAGCUAUUUCUAUUGCAUAACCAGGACAGUUUUAUUGUUUUGAGGUCAAUGUUCUUUUAAAAUUUGAUUUUCUGUAAGAAGAGGCUUUUUGGCCCAGAAAGCCUUACUUAUUUUACAUCUUCCAGUUUGUCCAUCCCAUGAGUUAGAGUUCGUCUUGACUCUGCAAGCUAGAAUCAAAGAAUUAUGAAAGUAAGAUCAUUUAGAUUUGACCAAGGGCACCAUUAAAUGGUGUCAGGUUUUAGGAAGCAGACGGGUGUAUAAAAAGAAAAUGAACAAAGAUUUCACUUAUUGGGGAUCAGGCAUAACUGGAUGCCUGGAUUGUCCUGCCACCCAGCUGCCACCAAUAAAAUCAUUAAUCACUCUGCAAGAGGGACCAGAUGCUUCCAUCAUCAGUACUCCUUGUUUUUCUGUUAUCUCCUUUGAGGUAGCUAAAAAUGGCAGCCAAAAAAAAAUGUUGAGGCUUUUCUCAAGUAUAUACUCAUGUUAUUUUGCAGAAGAUAGGGUCAACUUCUUCAGUUGAGUUAUCUGAAAGUGUUGGGCAGUGACACCAUGCCAAACACUGUUAAAUUCAUGCCAUUAAAAACAGUGGAGUGUUCUGCAAAGCCCGAUUCUCUGCAGCUUUAAGACUGGACAGUAUUGAAAUAUUCACAGGAAUCUUCCAAGCCAUGAAAGCUUAAUAUUAGACAGCCCUUUUAAUUGCAAAGGAGAAAAAAAUGGAGACACUUGUGAAACCUUGCAUUCUGAGUGCUGCCACAAAUAAAUUAAGGAAUUCCAGAAUUUCUUCAUCUACUUCUGCAGUCUUAACUCUGAAUUAAUGACUGAAUAUAUCAAACUUCAGAUCUUAAAAAACAUCAGCUCGCAAGAGGCUGAGGCAGGAGAAUGACAUGAACCUGGGAGGCGGAGCUUGCAGUAAGCCGAGACUGAGCCACUGCACUCCAGCCUGGGCAAUAGAGCAAGACUCCAUCUC
This 4727-nucleotide small RNA is filed under the name Pan troglodytes (chimpanzee). Its description in RNAcentral is "retained intron". The record is from RNAcentral. Lineage: Eukaryota; Metazoa; Chordata; Mammalia; Primates; Hominidae.